RNAcentral lists this ribosomal RNA (253 nucleotides) under uncultured bacterium. RNAcentral's name for it is "partial 16S ribosomal RNA". It matches the Rfam family "Bacterial small subunit ribosomal RNA", at positions 524 to 776 of the family's 1533-position model. The record is from RNAcentral.
UACGUAGGGCGCAAGCGUUAUCCGGAAUUAUUGGGCGUAAAGAGCUCGUAGGCGGUCUGUUGCGUCCGCUGUGAAAACUCGGGGCUUAACCCCGAGCCUGCAGUGGAUACGGGCAGACUAGAGGUAGGUAGGGGAGAAUGGAAUUCCCGGUGUAGCGGUGAAAUGCGCAGAUAUCAGGAGGAACACCGGUGGCGAAGGCGGGACUCUGGGCCGAUACUGACGCUGAGGAGCGAAAGCGUGGGGAGCAAACAGG